CCCAGCCCGGCGAGGUUUUGGGUCCAAUCCACGCGGGUCCGCAGGGAUUACCCCCGCCGGGGAAUAAACCCGGCCCAUCCAGUUUUUCUCGUUCGGUUAAGCCCCGCGUUGUAUUUCCCCGGCCCAAACCUCUCCAAACCCACGCGGAAAAAAUCAUCCACUAGCACCCCGUGGAAGGAAUCCCCGAGCGAGGCGCUCGUCUCAUCUCUCCCGAGCGACAGAAGCGGCGGCAAGGAGGCGGCGGGGACGAGUGGACGGCGGCGGCGCAACCUACCCGGAGGAGGAGGGUGCCCUCCUGCUUCGACGACCUGCCACGAAGCCCGCCGGAACCCUAGCCUCUAAUUGUCCCAUCUCCCCUGCCGCCCCCUUGCCGCGGGCCCGCGGUCGGAACCCUAGCUCCGGAGAAGUGGUUGCUGCAGGCGA
This 423-nucleotide ribosomal RNA is filed under the name Triticum aestivum (bread wheat). RNAcentral describes it as "partial small subunit ribosomal RNA". The record is from RNAcentral. Lineage: Eukaryota; Viridiplantae; Streptophyta; Magnoliopsida; Poales; Poaceae.